ACUCAUAUAUCAUUUUGAUAAUGGAAAUUCGUAAGAUACAUUCUGUUUUGUUUCUAUGUACAGGAAAUAUUGUCCGUUCAACUAUGGCUGAAAUCAUCAUGAAUCAUUUAGUCAAUGAUGGUGUGGCAAAAGAUCGAUGGAUAAUUGACUCUGCAGGAACCAUGAAAUACCAUAUAGGUGAUAGGCCAGACGCGCGUACAAUCUCUGUUUGUCAAGAAAUCCUCGGAAGUAAAUGUCCGCCAAUUACUCACCGGGCUAGACAAAUCAAACAAAGUGAUUUUUUUGAAUUUGAUUACAUUUUGUAUAUGGACGCCUUGAAUGAAUCGAAUGUGAAAAAUAUGAUACCAAAGGACCAUAGAGCCGAAGUUAAAAGGCUGGGUUACUACGACCCAGAAAAAGUUGAUCCGAAUGGUGUCUUUAUUAGAGACCCUUACUAUGAUAAAAAUUUAAAUAAUUUUCGCGCAAACUACUACAUUAUAAAGAGAUGUUUAGAAAAUUUCUUGAAUCAAGUUGAAUCGAAGUAAAAGAUUCUGAAUCAAUUAAAGAUAACUGAAGAUUACGUUUACGACUCUAUAUAAGUCUA
This is a long non-coding RNA of Schistocerca gregaria, 583 nucleotides long. RefSeq lists it as uncharacterized. The transcript has 3 exons. Lineage: Eukaryota; Metazoa; Arthropoda; Insecta; Orthoptera; Acrididae. The record is from RefSeq and is a predicted model, not a curated record.